CAUGCUAUUUUGUAUAAGGAGGUCUAAAAUAAAGAAUGACUAAUGUCUUGUGAGGCAUUGAUUUAAAUCCAGCAAUUUAUGAUUUCAACACCAUAUUGGUGAUUCAGAUCUUGGCAAUGAUUUGUCUAAAAUAAUAUAAUUCCUACCAAAUGAGAGUACAUCUAGUUUAAAAAAAGCAAUCAUUUGAAUUCACAUUAAAAUUAGAAAUUUUCAUUUUCAUUAUUCAACAAAAAAUAGGAGAAAAUUCUGGAUCCCAGCAGCUUAUGUCCUUUGCACCAAUAUUUAUUCAAGCAAAGGAAAAACUGAAGAAGGCGUAGAAUGAACUCUAAGACUGUUAAAGAAUUGCUGGCAUUAUUUCUCCCUAGAUCACGUGUGAGCCUGGGUUGCCUGCUAUUCCUGAGGCAGAGGAUCGAGGAUGAAAGUCUGUGUGUCAGAGCCUGUUUUCACAACUGCAUUUGGAGAUCUGUCUUAUUGAUUAGGAGAAAAAGGGGGAGGGAAUAGGAGUGUGAGGUGAGGGGAGGACCGACUGACUACUGGCUUAUUGCAGCUCAAGACAUUUUCUUCCGGAAAGAUGUCAAACAACUGAGACACAGCAACAGAGGAAGUAGAAAGGUGGAAAAAUAAGAAGAGAGACCCUUUGGAAGAAAUGAAGGCAUUUCUUAUGAGAGCCUUGAGGCUUUUUUUUUAAUCCUUCCAACAUCUGACCUGCAAGGGUUAGAAUGCCAGCGUCAUGCAAAUGCCGCAGUCCAGCAGGUCUGAGAGAGGGUGGAUGCUAGACACUGAACCGCUUCCUGAAGAGCACUGAAUUUUCUAUACCAGAUUCUACUUCAGUGGCCAGGACCUUUAUGGCCACUGAUUCUUUUGCUCUGGGUUCUGAAAAAACAUCGUGGAUCCAUCCCUAAAGUAGAAAUGUUAUUUUCCGUCCCGCAAGCAAGGCUAAAGAUUGGAGGAGAAUGAAUGUGAAUCUAAUUCAGGAUUGCGGUCGUGCCAUUCAAAGUUUUCAGCUUCAGAACAAAAUGAUUUGGGAAAUAUCAGUUUUCUUACUCUAUCAACAAUGUUUAAAAGUUGUAGGUGGUUCAAGUGACUUGACUCAAAUAAUGACAAUCUUUGCAUGUCAAUAAUUUCUACAGUUUAAGGAGUGAAAGGUAGUUUUGAGUUUGGAAAAGAAGAAGCUGUUACUAUCAGCCUGUAGUGGGAUUAAAUGUUGAAUAUGGGGAAGAGGCAAAAAGUAAAUAGAUGCCCGAAACUUAUCCUUGCACUGAGGAUGGGUUUAAAGUGCUGUAUAUCCUAGGGCCCACCUUACUGUAGAGGUAUAAUGGGGAAAUAUUUCAAUUAGAAGCCCAUUAACAAGCAUUUAAUCCUUCUUUAAGGCAUUAGAGGAAAUAGAAUAAAACAUUUACUGUACAAAUCUGCUGCAAGCAGACUUUAACCCACUUAUAGACUUAUCCUUCUGAUGGAUUAUACUAUGGCUACUCAGGAGUCAGAAUAGUAAACAUUUUAUUUGUGCUCCUUUUUUCCAAAGUUGUGGAAUCUGUUCUAAGAAGUGUCUUGAUCAAUCAGCUGAUAUUAUUGUUUUGAAUGUAUGUGUCUAUAUUGCCUACUUAUUUGAUCUUUUCCAAUCCCUACUUGAAAAGGUGGGGGUUUUUAUACAACAGCAACAAAAGUUUUACUGAAUGUAAUCUUGACGACUAAGUGAUUCAGAUUAUUUGAAGACGAAUUCUACUGGAUCAUAUCGGACUUUUCCUAGUCCCUGAGACCCUAACUUGUGAGGUUUUUUAGCAACAAUCACAAGUCAGGCUCUUGGGACCUAGGCGGAGGGGAACCAGCAGCUUUGGACUUUAUUGAUUGUUUAUCUGCAAUAUUAACAGAACCAAAGGAGAUUUUCUUAUCUGGGGGAAAAUAUUUAUUUCAGAUGUUAAGCACUAGUUUUAUGCUACAAAAAAAAAUUGUUGCUAUGUAUUGUACAAUAUCAAGAUUCUACAUAAUUUGUAUGUUUGGAAACCUAUAUUGUAGUGGAUAACGUGUAACAUUUAGAAUUAAAAUGUAAAUGAAUGACAUAUCUACAUAAAAAAUCAGAUACUGAAGGAUAAAUGCACUGUUUUCAACCAUAAUUUUGCUAUUAUGGAUCCUUCUGGUGGAUAAUCAAAACAAAACACAUUUCCAAAUGUAUUGCUAUAAUAUUUAAUGAACUUUUUGAAACUUACAGAUUAUAUAUUGAUCUGUGAGGCCUAGCAAAUGGAUUCAUCCUGUUGCCUUUGGGGUAAUAAUGUGAGCGUGCAAGAAAAUUGUUGCUUCUCUUUUCCUGUAAGGCAGUGCAGAGAUUCCUUUGUAGUUGUUACUAUUUCUCUUAGCCUAUAUAAUAAUACAAUAAAGAUUCUCUCAUUUGGUGUAUUAACCCCUUACUCUGAAAGAAAAGAGAAAGCUGGUCUCAAAUUCAUAAUGCUGUGUUGAAGUCACUUUGCCCACAGAACUACAUACUUUUCUUGUACAUACUGUAUCUCCGCAGAGAAGACAGGACACCGGGAAUUAAGCUCAAACUUUAGUCUCUUCCCUCACUUUUACUUUUCACUUAUAAAAACAGACUAACUGUUGUGUUGUCCCCAUAUGCUGAAUACUUCAAUGACUUCAACAUGAGAUCUGCCAGGACACAGCUAAUUUGUAAUGUCUGUCACUCCUAAAGUACUGAACCAGAACACAGAGAAUUUGACUGUAUUUCUUAAUAUUUUAUAAGUAGUUUGGUCCUGAUUAACUUUUUUUUCAAUUUCUUGUAUCUAACCCAAGAUGGUACAGCACCCUGUUAUUAGUGUACUAAUGUCACAUUUCACUGAUUGAAACAAAUGCUUUAUUUAGGGCAAGCAUCUAAACAAUUUGGUCAUUUUGAAACUGAUAUUUUGGCUCCAGUUUAUUUUUUCCACAUAUGUGGGAGGAAUUGUGUUUCAUUGUAACGCUGUUGUUAAAAUAAAUUAUUAUUAAACAUCAGAAUAAUUCAA
Non-coding RNA from Caretta caretta (loggerhead turtle), 2990 nucleotides. The record is from RefSeq and is a predicted model, not a curated record. Lineage: Eukaryota; Metazoa; Chordata; Testudines; Cheloniidae.